GACGAACGCUGGCGGCGUGCUUAACACAUGCAAGUCGAACGGAAAGGCCCCUUUUGGGGUACUCGAUUGGCGAACGGGUGGGUAACACGUGCGUAACCUGCCCUUGACUUCGUGAUAACUUCAGGCAACUGGGGCUAAUACCGGAUAGGAAUCCUUUCUGCCUGGUGGGGGUUGGAAAGCUUCUGCGGGUUUGGAUGGACUCGCGGCUUAUCAGCUUGUUGGUGGGGUAGUGGGUUACCAAGGCUUUGACGGGUAGCCGGCCUGGGAGGGCGACCGGCCAAAUUGGGACUGGGAUACGGCCCAGACUCCUAAGGGGGGCAGCAGGGGGGAAUAUUGGACAAUGGGCGGAAGCCUGAUGCAGCAACGCCGCGGGCGGGAUGACGGGCUUCGGGUUGGAAACCGCUUUCAGCAGGGGCGAAGCUUGUGGUGACGGUACCUGCAGAAGAAGCACCGGCUAACUACGUG
RNAcentral lists this ribosomal RNA (465 nucleotides) under uncultured bacterium. RNAcentral's name for it is "partial 16S ribosomal RNA". It matches the Rfam family "Bacterial small subunit ribosomal RNA", at positions 28 to 507 of the family's 1533-position model. The record is from RNAcentral.